RNAcentral lists this ribosomal RNA (2140 nucleotides) under human gut metagenome. RNAcentral describes it as "bacterial LSU rRNA". It matches the Rfam family "Bacterial large subunit ribosomal RNA", at positions 1 to 2008 of the family's 2925-position model. The record is from RNAcentral.
UGUUGCCUGCAAGGGCGUAUGGUGGAUGCCUUGGCAGACAGGACCGAUGAAGGACGUUUGAGGCUGCGAUAUGCCUCGGGGAGCCGCCAACAGGGCUUUGAUCCGAGGAUUUCCGAAUGGGGGAACCCACCGGCCGUCAUGGGCCGGUACCGCCGUGUGCGGGGGGUACGCAGGGAAGUGAAACAUCUCAGUACCUGCAGGAAAGGAUAUUCCGUGAGUAGUGGCGAGCGAAAGCGGAUCAGGCCAAACCUUGCGCGUGUGAUACCCGUCGGGGGUUGCGCGCGGGGUGUAGAGGGAUCGCGUUUGCCGGCUCCGACGGGCCGGCCGUCAGUUGCAUAAAACCAUGUGCCAGGGGAACCGGGUUGAAUACCGGGCCGCAGAGGGUGAGGGCCCCGUACCCGAACGCGCAUGGUCUGGCGAUCGCGUCUCCCAAGUAGCACGGGCCCCGUGGAAUCCCGUGCGAAUCUGUCCCGACCGUGGGAUAAGCCUAAAUAUUCCUGUCUGACCGAUAGCGAACGAGUACCGUGAGGGAAAGGUGAAAAGUACCCCGGGAGGGGAGUGAAACAGUCUCUGAAACCAUGCGCCUACGAACCGUCGGGGCCCUCUUGUGGGGUGACGGCGUGCCUAUCGAAAAAUGAGUCUGCGAGUCAGUGGCAUGUGGCGAGCAUAACCCGUGUGGGGUAUGCGUAGCGAAGGCGAGUCUUAAAAGGCGUUUGAGUCGCGUGUCCUGGACCCGAAGCGGGAUGAUCUAGCCCUGAGCAGGUUGAAGCGCGGGUAAGACCGUGUGGAGGACCGAACCCACCUGGGUUGAAAACCGGGGGGAUGACUUGGGGCUAGGGGUGAAAGGCCAAUCAAAUUCCGUGAUAGCUGGUUCUCUCCGAAAUGCAUUUAGGUGCAGCGUCGGAUCGAUUACAUCCGGGGGGUAGAGCGACUGGAUGCUUGCGGGCCCAUAUCGGGUACCAACAGCAACCAAACUCCGAAUACCCGUGAUGCGUAUCCCGGCAGUGAGUCGGCGGGGGAUAAGCUCCGUCGUCGAAAGGGAAACAGCCCAGAUCGUCGUCUAAGGUCCCCAAGCGUGUGCUAAGUGGGAAAGGAUGUGGAGUCGCAUAGACAGCCAGGAGGUUGGCUCAGAAGCAGCCACCCUUGAAAGAGUGCGUAACAGCUCACUGGUCUAGUGGUUCCGCGCCGACAAUGUAGCGGGGCUCAAGCACACCACCGAAGACGCGGCAGUAGCUUUGCUACUGGGUAGGAGAGCGUCCCAUGCGGGGCGAAGCGGCGGCGCAAGCCCGCCGUGGACCGCAUGGGAGUGAGAAUGCAGACAUGAGUAGCGAAAGACGGGUGAAGAUCCCGUCCGCUGGACGACCAAGGGUUCCAGGGCCACGUUCAUCGUCCCUGGGUGAGUCGGGUCCUAAGGCGAGGCCGACAGGCGUAGUCGAAUGGACGAACGGGUCGAUAUUCCCGUACCGGCAUGCAACCGGCAAAACCGAAUCCGCGAGUACUAACCUCCGGGUCCGGGCUCACGUCUCCUUCGGGAGCCGGAUGCCCUGGCCUGUUGGGACCGUAACGGUAGUAGGUCAGCGCGGGAGUGACGCAGAAGGGUAGCCGGCCGCGGAGGUGGUCUUCCGUGGUCAAGCACGCAGCCCGUCCCACAGGCAAAUCCGUGGGGCGCGUGGGCGAGGUGCGAUGAUGGGCGCCGCAGGGCGCGAUAUCCGGUGAUCCCGGCUGCCGAGAAAAGCUUCGGCGUGAGGCGGCAUGCCGCCCGUACCCCAAACCGACACUGGUGGUCAGGUAGAGAAUACCAAAGCGAUCGAGCGAAUCCUGGUCAAGGAACUCGGCAAAUCACUCCCGUUCCUUCGGUUUAAGGGAGACCCCCGAUGGUGAAGCGGCUUGCCCGCGGAGCUUUUGGGGGUGGCACAGACCAGGGGGUAGCGACUGUUUACCAAAAACACAGGAGCGUGCGAAGGCGCAAGCCGCUGUAUACGCUCUGACGCCUGCCCGGUGCCGGAAGGUUAAGAGGAUCCGUCAGGCCUCGGCCGAAGCGGUGAAUUCAAGCCCCGGUAAACGGCGGUGGUAACUAUAACCCUAAGGUAGCGAAAUUCCUUGUCGGGUAAGUUCCGACCUGCACGAAUGGCGUAACGAC